This 401-nucleotide ribosomal RNA is filed under the name uncultured bacterium. RNAcentral's name for it is "bacterial SSU rRNA". It matches the Rfam family "Bacterial small subunit ribosomal RNA", at positions 359 to 776 of the family's 1533-position model. The record is from RNAcentral.
GAAUCUUGCGCAAUGGGCGAAAGCCUGACGCAGCAACGCCGCGUGGGGGAUGAAGGCUCUCGGGUUGUAAACCCCUUUCAGCAGGGACGAAAUUGACGGUACCUGCAGCAGAAGCCCCGGCCAACUACGUGCCAGCAGCCGCGGUAACACGUAGGGGGCGAGCGUUGUCCGGAUUUAUUGGGCGUAAAGAGCUCGUAGGCGGCUCAGUAAGUCGGGUGUGAAAUUUCAGGGCUCAACCCUGAAACGCCACCCGAUACUGCUGUGGCUAGAGUCCGGUAGGGGAGCGUGGAAUUCCUGGUGUAGCGGUGAAAUGCGCAGAUAUCAGGAGGAACACCAGCGGCGAAGGCGGCGCUCUGGGCCGGAACUGACGCUGAGGAGCGAAAGCAUGGGUAGCGAACAGG